This 433-nucleotide ribosomal RNA is filed under the name uncultured bacterium. RNAcentral's name for it is "partial 16S ribosomal RNA". It matches the Rfam family "Bacterial small subunit ribosomal RNA", at positions 29 to 507 of the family's 1533-position model. The record is from RNAcentral.
AACGAACGCUGGCGGCAUGCCUAACACAUGCAAGUCGAACGAGACCUUCGGGUCUAGUGGCGCACGGGUGCGUAACGCGUGGGAACCUGCCCUUAGGUUCGGAAUAACUCCCCGAAAGGGGUGCUAAUACCGGAUAAUGUCUUCGGACCAAAGAUUUGUCGCCUUUGGAUGGGCCCGCGUUGGAUUAGCUAGUUGGUAGGGUAAAAGCCUACCAAGGCGACGAUCCAUAGCUGGUCUGAGAGGAUGAUCAGCCACACUGGGACUGAGACACGGCCCAGUCUCCUACGGGAGGCAGCAGUGGGGAAUAUUGGACAAUGGGCGAAAGCCUGAUCCAGCAAUGCCGCGUGAGUGAUGAAGGCCUUAGGGUUGUAAAGCUCUUUUACCCGGGAUGAUAAUGACAGUACCGGGAGAAUAAGCUCCGGCUAACUCCGUG